This 194-nucleotide unclassified non-coding RNA is filed under the name uncultured Sebacinales. RNAcentral describes it as "sequence contains ITS1". Lineage: Eukaryota; Fungi; Basidiomycota; Agaricomycetes; Sebacinales. The record is from RNAcentral.
GUGAAACUUCAAAGUCGGCUCGUCUACUGUGCUGGUGGAGACACAUGUGCACGUUGCGAGUCGCAAAUCCACACACCUGUGCAUCUAUGACUCUGAGUGCCGCUUUGCAUGGCCUUGACCGGCCUGGCGCUCGAGUACUUUCACACACUCUCGAAUGUAAUGGAAUGUCUAUUGUGCAUAAUGUGCAAAAGAAA